GACGUAGGGAGCGAGCGUUGUCCGGAUUCACUGGGCGUAAAGAGCGCGCAGGCGGCUUGGUAAGUCGGAUGUGAAAACCCGGAGCUCAACUCCGGGCGUGCAUCCGAUACUGCCCGGCUAGAGGUAGGUAGGGGAGAUCGGAAUUCCUGGUGUAGCGGUGGAAUGCGCAGAUAUCAGGAGGAACACCGGUGGCGAAGGCGGAUCUCUGGGCCUUACCUGACGCUCAGGCGCGAAAGCUAGGGGAGCGAACAGG
Molecule: ribosomal RNA, 253 nt
Filed under: uncultured bacterium
Lineage: Bacteria
Description: partial 16S ribosomal RNA
Rfam family: Bacterial small subunit ribosomal RNA
Source: RNAcentral